UGAGGAAUAUUGGUCAAUGGCCGGAAGGCUGAACCAGCCAAGUCGCGUGAGGGAAUAAGGCCCUACGGGUCGUAAACCUCUUUGUCGGGGAGCAAUGGGUGACUUGCGAGUCAUCAGGGAGAGUACCCGAAGAAAAAGCAUCGGCUAACUCCGUGCC
This 157-nucleotide ribosomal RNA is filed under the name uncultured bacterium. RNAcentral's name for it is "partial 16S ribosomal RNA". It matches the Rfam family "Bacterial small subunit ribosomal RNA", at positions 355 to 509 of the family's 1533-position model. The record is from RNAcentral.